RNAcentral lists this ribosomal RNA (494 nucleotides) under uncultured bacterium. RNAcentral's name for it is "bacterial SSU rRNA". It matches the Rfam family "Bacterial small subunit ribosomal RNA", at positions 29 to 526 of the family's 1533-position model. The record is from RNAcentral.
AACUAACGCUGGCGGCGUGCCUAACACAUGCAAGUCGUACGAGAAAGUUGGCUUCGGCCGAUGAGUAAAGUGGCGCACGGGUGAGUAAUGCGUGGAUAAUCUGCCCUUUAGUUGGGAAUAACGUACCGAAAGGUGCGCUAAUACCUGAUAAUACUGCAUAACUACUGUUGUGUAGUCAAAGAAGGCCUCUGUUUACAAGCUUUUGCUGAAGGAUGAGUCCGCGUACCAUUAGCUGGUUGGUGGGGUAAUGGCCUACCAAGGCUACGAUGGUUAGCUGGUCUGAGAGGAUGAUCAGCCACACUGGAACUGAGACACGGUCCAGACUCCUACGGGAGGCAGCAGUGAGGAAUAUUGCGCAAUGGGGCAACCCUGACGCAGCAACGCCGCGUGAAGGAAGAAGGUUUUCGGAUCGUAAACUUCUAUCCUUGGUGAAAUAAAGAAUGGUAGCCAAGAAGGAAGCCCGGCUAACUACGUGCCAGCAGCCGCGGUAAUCU